CGGCAGGGGGCGGCCGCACUACCGGCCCGCACAGAGUCGCAUACUCAACCUAGGUGCGGAGCAGGAGCGUACACGUUGGUACCCGAAAGAUGGUGAACUAUGCUUGGGCAGGCUGAAGCCAUGAGAAAUCUUGGUGGAGGGCCGCAGCGGUUCUGACGUCCAAAUCGAUAGUACCACCUGAGUAUAGGGGCGAAAGACUAAUUGAUCCAUAUAGUAGCUGGUUCCCUUCGAAGUUUCCUUCAGGAUACACUGUGAUCCGUUCAUAACGCAGUUUUGUCCGGUAAAGCGAAUGAAUAGAGGCUAUUCGAGGGCGCAACGCUCUCGACCUAUUAUCAAACUUUAAAUGGUACAAGGAGUAGUC
RNAcentral lists this ribosomal RNA (361 nucleotides) under Trypanosyllis leivai. RNAcentral's name for it is "eukaryotic LSU rRNA". It matches the Rfam family "Eukaryotic large subunit ribosomal RNA", at positions 727 to 1085 of the family's 3401-position model. Lineage: Eukaryota; Metazoa; Annelida; Polychaeta; Phyllodocida; Syllidae. The record is from RNAcentral.